CGACAUAGGCUUUGUAUGUUUUAAAUAAUAUUUUUCCUCAAUUAAUAUUUAAUACCCGUUUAUAUUUAACGAGUGCUCUUUGUUGCGCGUGAGACGUAACAGUCGAAAUCGAUAUGCUUAGUACAUGUUUGUAUCGUCACUUGCGGAGCGUUUCCCGUUCAUUCAAUAAACAACGUUAAAACGACCGCGAAGGUUAGAGUGUAGACGGUUAACGCCUCGUUUAUAGUUUGGCAAUGCGAAUAGUAAGAAUGCCGGUGCCACGUACAAUCAGGAUUGACUUAUGAUAUUACUGAUGUUAAAGUAUUAAAUAUUAUUUUAUAUUUGUAAAGUUACGAGUGAUAUCUAUUUGAUUUCUUAAUAAAUAUAAUCGUAACUCACGGUACUUGUCGGCGCUGUAACGUCUUGUAUAGCAUGAGUGUACAGCAAUCCCCCUUAUCGAUAUUCUAUUUUGAUGACAUUAAGUUUUUUCGUGAUAACUCUCCUGUAACGUCAACAUUGUACUCGCAGCUGAAGUAUCUUCCACCGUACAAAUGAAUCGCCAAAGUAUUCUAAACUUAAUGUGAUCGUGAAUUUGUCUAUAUAUAAACGUAAACGUAAUCGUUGGUUAUUUUAAUGAGACAAUUUAGAGCGGUCGCUAGUGGGUUACACAUAUUGGUGUAGCAAGUCGCUGUUGGCAUAAGUUGCAGCUCCUUGGAAACCUGUUUUGCGCUUCGCUCGGAAAAUAUGUCGUCGAUAGCGCGUGGCCACUCACCGCUCCGACGCAUACACACAUCCGCACGGGAUGACGUCUGGACCGAGAGACCGUGGAACAGGCGAGAGAUGUCCCUGGACAUGGAACGCUCAAUGAAGCGGCGAGCAUAGAACGGAGGAGGCGACGAGGAGCUGGGCUCGAGGCAGCUCACACAGACACUGUCCUCGCAAAAUAUGACAGUCGAUGACGAGAUGUGCUAUUAGCUAUAUAUGAGCAAUCUUAUAUUCAGUACAUCGGAGUGUGUCACAGCUUUGUAUCUGCAGUAUUUUUUAUCACAAAGGACUGUAUCACUAGGUAAGUGGAGUAAUUUAUGCAAAGGUGUUGUUCUUGGUUGCAUCUGCCUGCGCACGCGCCGCCGUCCACGCACACAUACGAACUAAUUACACUAUCAUCUGUAUACGUUCAUGCAGAUUAAAAAAAACCCUAAACUAAAAAUACCUCGCAGAUAUUAAUAUGUCAAGCAAGUUAAAAAUUUAUAAAUUAUUCGGACACACCUGUUAUAUUCGCGUAUGUUGAGAGUGUUUUAUGCUUAUUGAUGUUUGCCUUAAAAAACCUUCGCAUAAGUAACGUUUCGUUUGAUAUAAAAUAUGUCAAAGGUGUUAUUUAUAAGUUUUUCCUGUUAAGUUGCGCGGUCGGGUCGGGAGCAGGGCUAAUUAUAAUCAACUAAACAUCAUUGUAUCGCUCCUGAGGGCUGCAGCUUCGGUGGUACACACUAUUAAUAUCUGCGAGCAUCAACAAUCACAUAGCUACGCGCCCGUUAAUUAACUUUUAAACUCCAAAUGAAUACGGCCCGUACGUUAAACGACACUCGUACCGAUUGUUAACCGAACGUUUAAUGAGCGUUUAACAUUAAAUUUUAUGAUACUAUUAUAUAUCACGCGACAUUUGUUUCAAAAUGAUGAACGAGUCGCUAACAUCGUUCCAACCCUAAAAUGGCCACGUCUCUGUGGACGUUUAAGUUUUUUGUCCUUUCUCAGCUCAUUGUCAUAUCUGAAGCCCCCCGUCUGUCAAUUCUACUUAUAUCUGUUUAUAAAUAACUGUUGAUGAAUUUGUGAUGCUAAAUUUAACGGUUCACUGGUUUGUAUUGUGUCUAAGAGAUGGAUUGUGUGUCUCGUGUCUAACAUUCACAUCGGCCGGUUGAUGGUCUUAUGAUAUUUCGAUGUUACUUAAAGUUUAAAUAGACCAGUUUAAUUUCUGCUGGUGUCAGGCGCCCGCUGGCUAAUUUAAUCCUGACGCUAGUCACUUCAGAGGCGUCGGUCUCAUGUAAACUGUACAAGAAAAAGAGCUAAAACGCUCGUCUCCGAGGGAAUGUUUCACUUGAAGGUUGUCAGUGGACCACUUACAAUUAUACAACAUAGAGAGCGUGGAAUCUGCGGUGAAUUUCGAGAAUUAUCGUGGGGUCGAUGAACCGUGUCGACGCAUCUUGGCCGUUGCUCGUUUCGGAUAUAUAUUUUUUUUGUUAUUUUCUUAAAGCAGAUCCUUAUGAUUUUGAUAUUGGGUUGAAUAUAAUUCAUGAUCGCUUUUAAUGUUAACAUAAAAUAUCCUUAAAGAUUUUCACUCAGACGAUGGCGUGAUCGAAUUAUCAGAAGAGUGCUUUUAUUUUUAAUAAGUGAAAAGAAAUUUUGUACGGAGCGUUCGACUCGUAGUCGUUUUUGUUUGUGAUACCCGAUGGAUCUCAAUUAAAAAUUAAUAAUUCUAUAUACACGAAAUACCUUUUCCUUCCAAUUAAAGCUAGACCGAGUCUGUAGUAUUGUAGUCUCAUUUAGAUUAAUGAUUCGGUUCGUGUUACACAAGCGACCAAUGCUGCGUUCUUGCGACACUCCGACAAGGACUUGCAGUACAGUAUUAACGCUUCCGCUUUGUCUUGUGCAGUCGUAUUCAAUACAUUGCAAUUGAGAUAUUACAUAUUGCUGUAUAGCCAGAAUAUAAACAGCUGGUUAUAUGAUCGUAUAAUGUCGAACCGAAUGAAGUGUUUAGACGUUCAAUAAAAUGCGUCUUGAGGCAGUAAUUCGUUCGCGAAGGAGCCUCGACUGUGUGUAAGGUGACCAAUAAAAGUAUGGUCGUCGUAAUAAAUAAAAGAGUGUCCGUCUCAGCUGCGCGGGUGCAGGUGAAAUAAUUGGCAAUUCUUUGUCUCUGUUCGUCAAACCGAAUUCCGAUACGUUGAUAUGAGAACACUUGAGCAUCGUCUCGUUUUAUUCAUUUAUAAAUGGUGUUCUUAUUAUUUUCUAUCAUUUAACAUAUAUAUUACAUUUUGUAUCACUCUUGAAAUUAAAUUAUGUUUUUGUUUACUCAUUUCAUGAAUGCGAAGUAAUGACGUGCAUUACCGGAUAGUUCUCGUUACAUGUUGGGAGUCACCGUAAGAUAGUGAAACAUGUGAGCGCGUGUGGUCCUCUCGGACAGUAUCCCCGGCCUAGUUCACGUUAAGAACGUGACUGACAACUUAGAGCUAGCGUUACGUUAAUAUAGUGCCAGUUUAAUUGGUUGCCGACAUUCGUUACUAAUUGCCAUCGAAAUGUUUGGUUAGCGGCGAGAGUCGGGUCCACGGGACGGAUGAUUAGAUUCAGUGAUAUCAUUAAUACGACAGCGUGGCUAAAUAUAAUCAGUGUAUUAGUUACAAUUGCGACAACGUGAGUGAAAUUCCGGAUGACAGGAAUGUGGGUGAGAUAACCCCAUUCUGUUGGAGCAUGCGCGGGAGCCCUGCCCCCCUCACCCUUCCCGCCCCUCCGAGGCCCCUGCCCUGUAACCCGGCAUGUUUCUGAAGCUCCUCAGUCCACAACCCUCUCUGUCAUAUUCCCCAGUACCACCGCAUCCCUAGCUCUCAGCCCGCGACCAUGUCAAUUCUCUCAUUUACAUCACCAAUUAAUACCAACAAUUUCAUAGUCGCGAAGCCGAUAAUUGUUUCCUGUUUUUCAAACGACAAACAUCUUUUAAUUGCGUCUUAGAUAUUAAAUGAAAUAUAUAUUUACACCUCGCUCCACAUAUACACUGACUUGAGAUAUUACAUACUAUUAUUUUUAAUUCGCAUGGAAUGUGCUAAAUAUUAAUAGCGGUGGGUCCAUUAAGACAGAUGCUGCAAGAUCGCGAGGCGGUCCGGUGGCGGGCGUGAGUGUUAUCUACAUUUGCAUAGACCUGGCCGGAAUAUGUCGACCUCGAAACAGCUGGGAGUUAAAGAUAUAUCCAUUAAUUAUUAUUGUACUAUUAAUCAUUGUCACCACUUACCUGUGACAGAACGACACAAAAACUUUGUUUG
Long non-coding RNA from Danaus plexippus (monarch butterfly), 4001 nucleotides. RefSeq lists it as uncharacterized. Lineage: Eukaryota; Metazoa; Arthropoda; Insecta; Lepidoptera; Nymphalidae. The record is from RefSeq and is a predicted model, not a curated record. The transcript has 3 exons.